This 605-nucleotide long non-coding RNA is filed under the name Heterocephalus glaber (naked mole-rat). Its description in RNAcentral is "lncRNA (ENSHGLG00100045783.1)". The record is from RNAcentral. Lineage: Eukaryota; Metazoa; Chordata; Mammalia; Rodentia; Bathyergidae.
GAGGAAGAGCAGGUGAAGAUUUUUUCCCACAUUGUGGGUUGUCUCUUCACACUGCUGGUGGUUUCUCUUGUUGUGCAGAAGCUUUUUAAUAAGAAGACAUCCCAUUUGUUGAUUGUUUGUGCUAGUUCACGGGCAACUGUGGUUUUGUUCAUAAAAUCUUUUCCUACACCGAUGUCUUCAAGGGUUCUACCUAACCUCUGUUCCAACUGGUUCAGAGUUUCUAUUUUAAUAUUUAGAUCUUUAAUCCAUUUUGAUUUUAGUUUAGUGCAUGGUGAGAGAUAUAGGUCUAGUUUUAAUCUUUGUCAAGUUGAAACCCAAGUUUUCCAGCACCAUUUAUUAAAGAGGCUAUCUUUCCUCCAAUGAGGGUGUUUGGCUCCUUUGUCAAAGAUGAGGUGGCUGAGUGUGUCUGGAGUUGUUUCUGCAUCUUCUAAUCUGUUCCACUGGUCCCCAGGUCUGUUUCUUUGCCAGUACCAUGCUGUUUUUAUCACAGUAGCUUUGUAGGAUAGUUUCAAGUUGGGGAUUGUGAUACCCCCUGCCAUGUCUCUGUUACCUAGAAUUGCUUUUGCUAUUCUGGGUCUCUUCUUCUUCCAAAUGAAUUUUUGGAU